Molecule: ribosomal RNA, 253 nt
Filed under: uncultured bacterium
Lineage: Bacteria
Description: partial 16S ribosomal RNA
Rfam family: Archaeal small subunit ribosomal RNA
Source: RNAcentral
UACCAGCGCCCCGAGUGGUCUGCGCGAUUAUUGGGCCUAAAGCGUCCGUAGCCGGCCUUACAAGUCCUCCGUUAAAUCCAGCUGCUUAACAGAUGGGCUGCGGAGGAUACUAUAAGACUAGGAGGCAGGAGAGGCAAGCGGCACUCAGUGGGUAGGGGUAAAAUCCGUUGAUCCAUUGAAGACCACCAGUGGCGAAGGCGGCUUGCCAGAAUGCGCUCGACGGUGAGGGAUGAAAGCUGGGGGAGCAAACCGG